GGAGAGAUGCCAGAGUGGUCGAAUGGGACUGACUCGAAAUCAGUUGUUCUGCGCAAGUUGGACCGAGGGUUCGAAUCCCUCUCUCUCCGCUA
Molecule: transfer RNA, 92 nt
Filed under: Candidatus Magasanikbacteria bacterium CG_4_10_14_0_2_um_filter_33_14
Lineage: Bacteria; Candidatus Magasanikiibacteriota
Description: tRNA-Ser
Rfam family: tRNA
About the family: Transfer RNA (tRNA) molecules are approximately 80 nucleotides in length.
Source: RNAcentral